Molecule: long non-coding RNA, 807 nt
Filed under: Helianthus annuus (common sunflower)
Lineage: Eukaryota; Viridiplantae; Streptophyta; Magnoliopsida; Asterales; Asteraceae
Description: hypothetical non coding rna
Source: RNAcentral
UGCCAUGCCAUAUGUAUUAUAUACCCACAUAUAUACAUAUACGUAUAUACGCAUAUACAUACAUACAUACACACACAUGUAUGUAUGUGUGUAAGGAAACAGUUGCAUGCAUCUAUAAAAAAGGUUCGAAAGAACAUGUUAUUGUAGAUGGAUGUUGACGAGACAGACAAAACUCGUCAAGUUUAAACAUAAAGGACAACGCCUGAAAAUGGGUAUAAAGAUAAAGGACAAUCCUUGAAAUUCACUCUAUUUAUAUAUUAAUAAUUAUAAUUGUAUAAAAAAUCAUAAUAAAAUUAAAUAAAUUAUAUUCAUAUAAAUUUUACUCAACUUAUAUUAUAAAUAGGUAUGUAACCAAUUAUAAAAAUAUAUAAAUAAAAUAAUAAAGUAUUUUAUAAAGAAUAAGCAAGCUCAUGGCUCCGCAUGUUUAUAUCCCUAUGUGCAAUUAUGGAUAUUUUAACCUCCUAUAUGUAUUACUAAGUGUUUGCUUUUAGGUAACAAAUCGAUAUCUAGUAUCCCAACAUGAAACGGAGACUUUGUUGGGACCUGUUUUACAUGACAAUGGUAAAACAAAUAAUUUUUAAAACCGAAAGUCGAAACCAUAUAUUCACAGCACCUAUAACAAAGUUGGCUAUAAGACGGGGUGGUGUAGGCUAGCGUCCUGUGCCAUAUAAGCAUGAUGAAGCUCCCAACACUGAUGCCUGGACGCCUUUGAUGGAAUCGUUGUGAUGUUAGCGAGCGCCAUGAGUGGGGAAUAAUGGAUUUAAUUAUGAAAUUGAACAUUAGCAAUGCUCAUGUUUAUAAAAAUAA